AUUGAACGCUGGCGGCAGGCCUAACACGUGCAAGUCGAACGGUAACAGGAAACAGCUUGCUGUUUCGCUGACGAGUGGCGGACGGGUGAGUAAUGUCUGGGAAACUGCCUGAUGGAGGGGGGUAACUACUGGAAACGGUAGCUAAUACCGCAUAACGUCGCAAGACCAAAGAGGGGGACCUUCGGGCCUCUUGCCCUCGGAUGUGCCCCGAUGGGAUUAGCUAGUAGGUGGGGUAACGGCUCACCUAGGCGACGAUCCCUAGCUGGUCUGAGAGGAUGACCAGCCACACUGGAACUGAGACACGGUCCAGACUCCUACGGGAGGCAGCAGUGGGGAAUAUUGCACAAUGGGCGCAAGCCUGAUGCAGCCAUGCCGCGUGUAUGAAGAAGGCCUUCGGGUUGUAAAGUACUUUCAGCGGGGAGGAAGGGAGUAAAGUUAAUACCUUUACUCAUUGACGUUACCCGCAGAAGAAGCACCGGCUAACUCCGUG
Molecule: ribosomal RNA, 490 nt
Filed under: uncultured bacterium
Lineage: Bacteria
Description: partial 16S ribosomal RNA
Rfam family: Bacterial small subunit ribosomal RNA
Source: RNAcentral